UUAAAGCGGUACGCGAGCUGGGUUCAGACCGUCGUGAGACAGGUCGGUCUCUAUCCGCUGUGGGCGUAAGGGAUUUGAGAGGAGCUGCCCCUAGUACGAGAGGACCGGGGUGGACAGACCGCUAGUGUGUCAGUUGUCGUGCCAACGGCAUCGCUGAGUAGCUAAGUCUGGCAGAGAUAACCGCUGAAAGCAUCUAAGUGGGAAACUCGCCUCAAGAUGAGAUCCCUCAUCUGUAAAAGGAGUAAGGCCGCAGGAAGACUACCUGCUUGAUAGGCGGGAAGUGGAAGCGCAGUAAUGUGUGGAGCUAACCCGUACUAAUGGCCGAGGGCUUCUC
Molecule: ribosomal RNA, 334 nt
Filed under: Geobacteraceae bacterium
Lineage: Bacteria; Pseudomonadati; Thermodesulfobacteriota; Desulfuromonadia; Geobacterales; Geobacteraceae
Description: partial 23S ribosomal RNA
Rfam family: Bacterial large subunit ribosomal RNA
Source: RNAcentral